UCUACCCUGAUUGUGCCUGAUCUCAUCUGAUCUCAGAACAUAAGCAGGUUUGA
Molecule: ribosomal RNA, 53 nt
Filed under: Nannospalax galili (Upper Galilee mountains blind mole rat)
Lineage: Eukaryota; Metazoa; Chordata; Mammalia; Rodentia; Spalacidae
Source: RNAcentral